This 253-nucleotide ribosomal RNA is filed under the name uncultured bacterium. RNAcentral describes it as "partial 16S ribosomal RNA". It matches the Rfam family "Bacterial small subunit ribosomal RNA", at positions 524 to 776 of the family's 1533-position model. The record is from RNAcentral.
UACGGGGGGGGUAAGCGUUGUUCGGAAUUACUGGGCGUAAAGGGCUCGUAGGCGGCCAACUAAGUCAGACGUGAAAUCCCUCAGCUUAACUGGGGAACUGCGUCUGAUACUGGAUGGCUUGGAUCCGGGAGAGGGAUGCGGAAUUCCAGGUGUAGCGGUGAAAUGCGUAGAUAUCUGGAGGAACACCGGUGGCGAAGGCGGGUCUCUGGGCCGAUACUGACGCUGAGGAGCGAAAGCGUGGGGAGCGAACAGG